UGUUAAACGUUACCACCUCACCUCUUCCUAAUUCUUCCUUUAUGGUUAAGAAAUUACUUGAGAUAAGACCAAGUUUUGCCUCAUCCAAUUUCUAUUUUUAUCAAACUAUAGUUAUCACUUCUUCACGGUUAAGGCAAAGAGGACUAUUUCAUCUUUGCUUCAAUUUUUAUCGUUUGUUGCACAAUUUCCAUGAUUAUCACGUACCAAACUUUAUCUCUUAUUUUUCUUCUAGAAAGCUUAUUAGCAACACUUAAUACUCCUACAUUUAUUCCAACGACUUAAGAAGCUAUCGACACCAUGGCUGUCGCUCAUCAUUCACUAAUCCCUAUCCAUCAUUCAUGAUUAUGUUCUUGCUCCAAAAAUAGUCUCCUAAGACUAAGUUCUUGAGCUACUUUUCAAUAAACCCAAAGUAAGUUACUCUUUUUGCUUGUAAUUUUGGUAUAAGUUUGACUUUUACUUUGGGAAAACUACUCUUAUUUCUUAAAUUAAUGAUUAUGGUAGCAUUUGCUUUUAAAUGGUCAUACUAUCAUAUACUUAGAUAACUUACGUAGUAAUAAUACUCAUUUCUCAAAUGAGUUUUGUUAUUGUUUUCAUACUAAAUAUAAUUUAUGAUUUUGAGUGUUUAUAAUUUUAAUCUUAUUCACUACUAAUAUGAAUAGUAGUAGUAUAUAUGUUUUUAAUCUAUUUUCUACUAGUAAUAUAAAUAGUGGUAGUAUCUAUUUUUAAAGUAAUGCUCAUUUUACUCAAAAUGAGGUAAUACUUGUUUUGUUUCUAAAAAUAUUUUUAUACUUGUUUUAUCAAAGACUUUGAAUUAAGAAGUUAUUAAUGAGUAUUUAUUAUUUUUGGGUAUGAUCGAAUAAAUCAUGAUGAUGAGGAAUUUAUGACGGAGGUUGAGAGUUCGAAUGAUGAUUAUUGGAGAACAAGCUAAGUGAGAUGAUUAAGGAUGAUCGAAUGAGGGAUAAUGAUGACAGAGCUGAAAUUAAUCAAAAGCAAAGGGAUUAAAGGAAUUUAGUUAGUUUAGGGAUUAUGGAAUCAAGGCUUAUGUAUUAUGGAUCAUCGAGAGCUGAGAUAGAUUGAUUAUUUUAUUACAGUUUGGAAGACUGAAGUUGUAUUUUUUUUUAUUGAAUAUUCUCAUUAAGGAGUAUGUUUAUUUGUGGGCCCAUAACCCACAGGUGGCUAUGAGAUUAUCUAUAUAUAAUUGAUUCUGCUUAGUAUGAUGAUUAAA
Long non-coding RNA from Chenopodium quinoa (quinoa), 1225 nucleotides. RefSeq lists it as uncharacterized. NCBI's taxonomy places the organism in Eukaryota, Viridiplantae, Streptophyta, Magnoliopsida, Caryophyllales, Amaranthaceae. The record is from RefSeq and is a predicted model, not a curated record. The transcript is spliced from 2 exons.